GGCAGGAAUCGGUACAUGGGAGAUCGAUCAAAGCAGGCAGGAAUAUCAAAGGAGUCAGGCUUACGGGGUCGGUCGGAGAACACGGGUUGACGAUCAGGGAUAUGGGAGUGCUGGAACAGGGCAUGAACCGCAACGAUCUGGUGCCGGACCAGUCGUCCCCAUGGUCCUAUAUACACCGAGGCCAAUCAGCCAGCAUGAGGCACAAAUCAGCGCGACCGCGCGGGCACCCACACAGCCAGGGUUGGACCGGCUGGAUCAUGACAACGAUUUGUCACUUUAAACUGCUCCCUCUGCAGAAUUGAUAUUGUUAACACACUUAUCUGUAUAUAGAUUUUACACCUUGCACGUCUUAUAAGGAAUGAUUCCUAUAAACAGAAAUGUCUCUUGUUCUUUGUUCUUGUUGCUAUAUUGUUCCUUGUUCUUUGUUCCGAAUGUCAACUGCCGGAGAAAAAAAUCCUUGUGUGUUUUUACACACUUGGCCAUUAAAGUUGACUCUGAUUCUGAACAAGGUAGGUUUUUUUUUUUCAAAUGUCUUUGUCAAGACAGCUGGGAUGGACUCCUACAACCCUUGUGAGGAUAAGCCAUACAAAAAAAUGAAUGACUGCUUGGAUGUAUUCCAUCAAGAGGAUCUCACUGUGCCCCCGGGUUCAAGUCGAGAAAAUUCCCUCAAGGUAAAGCUUGUUGGCAACAAAGAGUGUUUAAAUGGCAUUUGGAAGCACAUCUAAAGGCUCCGCGUGUGCGUGCGUGUGUGCGUUGGCCACAUAUGGUCAGCACAAUAAUGACACACUUCAAAGUCUACAAACAUCUUUGUGGUCAAAGUCAUGAAAAGAUAAACACACCGAGGAUGCCGAGGAGAAGAUGAAGAGGAGUUCAGGAUGAAGAGGAACACGGGUGAAGGGGUGAAUGUGAGGCGAUCUAACUUUGGUGGGUGUGUGUUGUGGAAAAGACUUCCAAAGAGGUGCUGGUAACCAAGGCGCAAUCGCUGCAUUCCGUGAAAGUGGGAUUGGAAAGCCACCUUGUAAUAUCACCACACUGCAAUGAAUUAUUCAGGAGAAAGAGAGUGCCCCGCGGUUUGCUGGCAACCAGUUCAAGAUGUUAUCCCGCCUCUUGAACUCCUGUGACCCUUGUGAGGAUAAGCAGUUCAGAUAAUGGAUGGAUGGAUAUAUACACUGUGUAUUCUAAUUACACAUUACUUAUAAGAGUAAAAAUAUAUUCUGUAGAAAGAAAAAUAAAUGAAAUGCGUACACAUUUUACAGAUACAAUGAAUAAAAAUGCAUUUUUAAAAACACAAACAAAAAAAUGGAGGAACGGAAAAAUUCAGUUUUCGACCAUGUUAUGUUUGAUUAUCAUGGUUCCUGACCUCAUUAGGUGACAUAUUUCCAAAAUCCCAGCAGUCCGCAUUAAAGAACAAAAAUGGAGAUUGCACAGGAGAGGAAGAUACUGUAUUAGCAUAGCAUUAGCAUCAUCGCUCACAGCAGUCGUCGGGUUGGCGCCUGCGACAUGCUGGGCGCGACGAAUAAUGAGCUGUUUGCAAGUGCACGUGAACAGUAAUUGUGAACAUUCUGGCAAUUAAAUGAGACAAAGACCUCACUCA
Molecule: long non-coding RNA, 1594 nt
Organism: Syngnathoides biaculeatus (alligator pipefish)
Lineage: Eukaryota; Metazoa; Chordata; Actinopteri; Syngnathiformes; Syngnathidae
Exons: 2
Source: RefSeq, a predicted model, not a curated record